UACGGAGGGUGCAAGCGUUAAUCGGAUUUACUGGGCGUAAAGCGCACGUAGGUGGUUUGUUAAGUCGGAUGUGAAAUCCCCGGGCUCAACCUGGGAGCGGCAUUCGAUACUGGCAAACUGGAGUACGAGAGUGGGGGGUGGAAUUCCAGGUGUAGCGGUGAAAAUGCGUAGAUAUAGGAAGGAACACCAGUGGCGAAGGCGACUACCUGGACUGAUACUGACACUGAGGUGCGAAAG
RNAcentral lists this ribosomal RNA (237 nucleotides) under uncultured bacterium. Its description in RNAcentral is "partial 16S ribosomal RNA". It matches the Rfam family "Bacterial small subunit ribosomal RNA", at positions 524 to 759 of the family's 1533-position model. The record is from RNAcentral.